This 954-nucleotide ribosomal RNA is filed under the name uncultured organism. RNAcentral's name for it is "bacterial SSU rRNA". It matches the Rfam family "Bacterial small subunit ribosomal RNA", at positions 519 to 1488 of the family's 1533-position model. The record is from RNAcentral.
GGUAAGACGUAGGAUGCAAGCGUUAUCCGGAAUUAUUGGGCAUAAAGAGUUCGUAGGCGCUUUGUUAAGUUGGAUGUUAAAUUUUUGAGCUCAACGUAGAAAAAGUAUCCAAAACUGGCAAACUGGAGACUGGUAGAGGUAAGUGGAAUUCUGCAUGUAGGGGUAAUAUCCGUAGAUAUGCAGAGGAACACCAAAAGCGAAGGCAGCUUACUGGACCAGUUCUGACGCUCAAGAACGAAAGCGUGGGUAGCGAACGGGAUUAGAUACCCCGGUAGUCCACGCCCUAAACGAUGAACACUAGGUAUUGGAGGUCUCGACCCCUUCAGUGCCGACGCAAAUGCAAUAAGUGUUCCGCCUGGGUAGUACGAGCGCAAGCUUAAAACUCAAAGGAAUAGACGGGGACCCACACAAGCGGUGGAGCAUCUGGUUUAAUUCGACAAUAAGCGAGGAACCUUACCAAGGCUUGACAUCCCGAGAAGAUCGCCGAAAGGUGAUUGUGCCGUUAGGAACUCGGUGACAGGUGCUGCAUGGUUGUCGUCAGCUCGUGCCUUGAGGUGUUCGGUUAAGUCCGUGAACGAGCGCAACCCUUGUCUCAAGUUGCAUAUUUCUUGAGAGACUGCCGGUUUCAAAUCGGAGGAAGGUAAGGAUGACGUCAAAUCAGCAUGGCCCUUAUGUCUUGGGCGACACAGGUGCUACAAUGGCCGGUACAAUGGGCAGCGAAGGAGCAAUCUGGAGCAAAUCCUCAAAACCGGUCCAAGUUCGAAUUGAAGGCUGCAACUCGCCUUCAUGAAGUUGGAAUCGCUAGUAACCGCAUAUCAGCCAUGGUGCGGUGAAUCCGUUCACUGGGUCUUGUACUCACCGCCCGUCAAGUCAUGAAAGAUGGGGGUGCCCGAAGUACCCUUAGCUAAUUUAGCCGGGGUCCUAANGGCAAAACCAUUGAUUGGGACUAAGUCG